This 67-nucleotide non-coding RNA is filed under the name unclassified sequences. RNAcentral describes it as "S15-Halobacteria ribosomal protein leader". It matches the Rfam family "S15-Halobacteria ribosomal protein leader". The record is from RNAcentral.
ACGGGAACAGCACGACCGCAAAUCUGACUCGCCGUCCGUUUGGGCGGCUCCGAGAUUGCGGCCGUGU